CAGUCGCCGCGGUAAUGCGUAGGUGGCAAGCGUUGUCCGGAAUUAUUGGGCGUAAAGCGCGCGCAGGUGGUUUAAUAAGUCUGAUGUGAAAGCCCACGGCUCAACCGUGGAGGGUCAUUGGAAACUGUUAAACUUGAGUGCAGGAGAGAAAAGCGGAAUUCCUAGUGUAGCGGUGAAAUGCGUAGAGAUUAGGAGGAACACCAGUGGCGAAGGCGGCUUUUUGGCCUGUAACUGACACUGAGGCGCGAAAGCGUGGGGAGCAAACAGGAUUAGAUACCCCAGUAGUCCCUGUCUCUUAUAC
Molecule: ribosomal RNA, 301 nt
Filed under: uncultured bacterium
Lineage: Bacteria
Description: partial 16S ribosomal RNA
Rfam family: Bacterial small subunit ribosomal RNA
Source: RNAcentral